GGAUUGCCCUAGUAACGGCGAGUGAAGCGGCAAAAGCUCAAAUUUGAAAUCUGGCGGUCUACGGCCGUCCGAGUUGUAGUUUAGAGAGGUGCUCUCCGCGUCGGACCAUGUACAAGUCCCUUGGGAUGGGGCGUCAGAGAGGGUGAGAAUCCCGUUCGUGACAUGGACUGCCGUCGCUCUGUGAUGCGCCUUCGAAGAGUCGAGUUGUUUGAGAAUGCAGCUCAAAACGGGUGGUAAAUUCCAUCUAAAGCUAAAUAUUGGCGAGAGACCGAUAGCGAACAAGUACCGUGAGGGAAAGAUGAAAAGAACUUUGGAAAGAGAGUUAAACAGUACGUGAAAUUGUUGAAAGGGAAACGCUUGAAGUCAGUCGCGUCGGCGGGGAUUCAGCCUGGCCUUGUGCUUUGGUGUACUUCCCCGUUGACGGGUCAGCAUCAGUUUCGGUCGCCGGAGAARGGCGUGGGGAAGGUGGCUCCUCCGGGAGUGUUAUAGCCCCGCGUGGUACACGGUGUCUGGGACUGAGGAUCGCAGCGCGC
RNAcentral lists this ribosomal RNA (533 nucleotides) under Protohydnum pululahuanum. RNAcentral describes it as "eukaryotic LSU rRNA". It matches the Rfam family "Eukaryotic large subunit ribosomal RNA", at positions 72 to 605 of the family's 3401-position model. The record is from RNAcentral. Lineage: Eukaryota; Fungi; Basidiomycota; Agaricomycetes; Auriculariales; Exidiaceae.